RNAcentral lists this ribosomal RNA (2934 nucleotides) under Triticum aestivum (bread wheat). RNAcentral's name for it is "partial small subunit ribosomal RNA". The record is from RNAcentral. Lineage: Eukaryota; Viridiplantae; Streptophyta; Magnoliopsida; Poales; Poaceae.
AUGGCAACUGCAAUAGUGGUGGGUUUUUGUACCGGCGCAAUGAAACCUGUUCUUCAAAAGCUGGCCACUCUAAUGGGAGACGAGUUCUCCAAGGUGAAAAACGUGCGGAAGGAUGUGGAGUUUCUCAGUGAUGAGCUUACAAGCAUGAAUGUUUUUCUUGAGAGCCUUGAAGAUGUGGACGAGCUAGAUGCACAAACCAAGCUCUGGAGAAACAAAGUGAGGAACAUGUCCUAUGACAUUGAGAACAUCAUUGAUGACUUCAAGCGAAAAAUUGGUGAGAAAGGUGAAAAGGAUGGGCUCGCCAUGAAGACUCUUCGACUCCUGAAAUCUUCCAGAGCCCGUCAGCAGAUAGCUGGCCAGAUUGAAGAGAUCAAGAAACUAGUGUCUGAUACUAGUGAACGACACAAAAGAUAUGAAUCUAAAGCUCGUCCAUCAAGUGAUGUGACCACUGACCCACGAGUUGUCACAUUCUAUCAAGAUGCAAUUAGCCUUGUUGGGCUGGAGGGGCUAACUGAUGAGCUCGUCAAUUACCUGAAGGACGAGGAGACACAGUUGAAGGUGGUAUCCAUUGUGGGAUUCGGAGGACUGGGAAAAACAACACUCGCCAAUGAGGUAUACCGUCAGUCCAAAGGUGGACUUGAAUGUUGUGCAUUGGUCGCAGUGACGCAGAAGCCAAACAUCCCAAGUCUUCUACGUAGUUUACUAUCUGAAGUUGGGAGCAAAUCAUGUACUAAUGGUUGUGACGAAAAUGUUCUUAUCAACAAACUCAGAGUAUAUCUGCAACAUAAGAGGUACUUGAUUGUAAUUGAUGAUCUAUGGGAGAGAUUACCAUGGGAUAUUAUUAAAGGUGCUUUCCCAGAUAAUGGCCUUGGCAGCAGAGUAAUAACAACUACAAGAAUACAUGACGUGGCUAAGGCAUGUUGCUCCAAUCCCCGUGAUUAUAUAUUGAAAAUGAAGCCACUUAGCGAUGAAGACUCAAGAAGACUAUUCUUUGGUAGGAUAUUUAACUCUGAAGAUGCCUGCCCUCGUCAGCUUCGGGAUAUUUCUAUUGAAAUUCUCAAGAAAUGUGGCGGUAUGCCCCUUGCAAUUAUUACUAUAUCAGGCAUGCUAGCAAGUGGAAUGCUACCAGGUGAAGUCUUCGAUCAAGAGGAGUGGGAACAUAUACGGAAUUCUCUAGGUUCGGGGACAAAUCUCACGUUGGAAGGGGUGAGAAAAAUCUUAGACCUCAGCUACAAAAAUCUACCUCCUCAUCUCAAGACAUGCUUGUUGUAUCUUGGUAUGUAUCCAGAGGACUUUGAAAUACCGAGGCAGCGUUUGGAACUUCAAUGGAUUGCCGAAGGUUUUGUCAGUAAAGAAGAAAAGGGAAAAGAUGUGGAGAAGGUUGCAAGAAGUUAUUUCAAUGAGCUUAUCAAUAGGAGCCUUAUUCAACCUACAAAAUUUGACAACCAUGGUAUGGUCACACAUUGCAAAGUUCAUGAUAUGAUGCGUGAUCUUAUCUUGUGGAAGUGUGCAGAAGAGAAUUUUCUCACCAUAAUUGAUGACCCUCGAGCCAUGUCAAAACUGGAUAACACGGUCCAUCGACUGUCUCUCCAAAGUGAUUGUCCAAGAUUUACAAAAGUGUUACCGGGUAACACUAAUCUGUCACAAGUUCGGACGUUUAUGAUCUUUGGCGAUCUUCAAUAUAUACCUCCUCUGUCCAUGUUCAAAUUCCUCAGGGUUCUUCUUAUUGAGGAGUCCAAAUGUCUUUAUCCCGCCGGCACCGCUGCACUGGCCAAGUUGUAUCAGCUGAGAUAUUUAGCCAUGACCAAGCAGAUUGGGAUAUCGGUACCAACAGAGAUCAGAGGGCUACGACACUUGGAAACACUUGAUUUACUUGAUAAUAUGGAUGUUCCAUCUGAUAUAGUUCAUCUAAGAUGCUUGAUGUUCUUGAAUAUCCGUUGGUCUUCCACACCAAUUCCUGAUGGCAUCGGCAACAUGAAGUCCCUGAGAUAUUUAAAAAAAUUUGAUGUGAUGCAGAACUCACUAGAUAACGUCGAGGGUCUUGGAGAGUUAACCAGUCUGAGAGUACUAGCAGUAUGCAGCCAGUGGUAUGCUGCGUCCGACUUCAAGAUACGAAUGGAUGCUCUGUGCUCUUCUUUGGGGAAAAUUUGUACCAGCCUCGAGUACCUGGGUUUGGAUAUCAUAGGCUGCAUGGAUGUCUUGAUGGACUUGUCACCUCCUCCCCGCCGACUUGAGAGACUGUACAUGGGUAAUCACCAUGAGAAUGAACGGGAAGAUGUUCUUUUUGACACGGAGGAUGACCUCGGCCUCUGCAUCUGGGCGAUACAUACGGCCAAGGAAUGGAAGCCUGUACCGGGCAGCUACUUUUCCAGGGUCCCUAAUUGGAUGGGGGAACUCAGUAACCUCAAAGAACUGGUAAUCAAUGUCCUAGAGGCUUGGAAUAUUGGUAUUCUAGCACAGUUGCCCGCUCUCGCUCAUCUCAGACUAUACAUCAGAAAAUCUCUAAGAGAAUGGUUUGUCAUCUACGCCGGAGAAUUCCCUGUUCUAAAAUGUUUUGAAAUUCGGUUGAGCAGUGCGUCGUACCUGGCCUUCCAGGCUGGUGCAAUGCCAAAGCUCCAGUGGCUCGGCCUGCAAUUCAGCGGCGUAGGGUGGUUCCAGCACGUGCCUGGACCAGCCGGCAUCCGACACUUGUCAGCGCUUGAAGAAUUUUCGGCCCAAAUCGGAUACAUGAACUAUUGUUAUUAUGGAGACUAUAGUUAUUAUGGAGAGAAAUGGGCCAAGGUUGCCAUGAGGAAUGCUCUCCACAUGCAUCCCAACCAUCCUCGCGUUCACAUCACAUGUGAUACAAUUUGCAAUCUUGAGUCGUCGUUUUUGCCAUGUGAUGAUUCUGAUCAAGGCGCCUCUGAUCCUCCGCACAGGGCUGCUGACUGCUGA